UCCUUAGAUGUUCUGGGCCGCACGCGCGCUACACUGAUGCAUCCAACGAGUUUCUUCCUGGUCCGAGAGGAAUGGGUAACCUUUUGAAACUCAAUCGUGAUAGGGAUAGAUGAUUGCAAUUAUUUGUCUUAAACGAGGAAUGCCUAGUACGGAGGCUUCAACAGAGUCUCCGGAAUACGUCCCUGCCCUUUGUACACACCGCCCGUCGCUCCUACCGAUUGGAUGUUCCGGUGAGGAUUCAGGACUUGAGAUUCAUUUCUGCUGCGGUUCUGCUGUAGUGGAAACUCUCGGGGAAUUUAUUCAAAUCUUAACAUUUAGAGGAAGGAGAAGUCGUAACA
Molecule: ribosomal RNA, 338 nt
Filed under: uncultured eukaryote
Lineage: Eukaryota
Description: partial 18S ribosomal RNA
Rfam family: Eukaryotic small subunit ribosomal RNA
Source: RNAcentral